CCUACGGGGGGCUGCAGUGGGGAAUAUUGGACAAUGGGCGAAAGCCUGAUCCAGCCAUGCCGCGUGUGUGAAGAAGGCCUUCGGGUUGUAAAGCACUUUCAGUGGGGAAGAAAGCCUUGGGGCUAAUACCCUCGAGGAAGGACAUCACCCACAGAAGAAGCACCGGCUAACUCCGUGCCAGCAGCCGCGGUAAUACGGAGGGUGCGAGCGUUAAUCGGAAUUACUGGGCGUAAAGCGCGCGUAGGCGGUCUGAUAAGCCGGUUGUGAAAGCCCCGGGCUCAACCUGGGAACGGCAUCCGGAACUGGCAGGCUAGAGUGCAGGAGAGGAAGGUAGAAUUCCCGGUGUAGCGGUGAAAUGCGUAGAGAUCGGGAGGAAUACCAGUGGCGAAGGCGGCCUUCUGGACUGACACUGACGCUGAGGUGCGAAAGCGUGGGUAGCAAACAGGAUUAGAUACCCGAGUAGUC
RNAcentral lists this ribosomal RNA (465 nucleotides) under Vreelandella stevensii. RNAcentral describes it as "partial 16S ribosomal RNA". It matches the Rfam family "Bacterial small subunit ribosomal RNA", at positions 338 to 795 of the family's 1533-position model. Lineage: Bacteria; Pseudomonadati; Pseudomonadota; Gammaproteobacteria; Oceanospirillales; Halomonadaceae. The record is from RNAcentral.